CCUACGUGAGGCAGCAGUGGGGAAUAUUGCACAAUGGGGGAAACCCUGAUACAGCGACGCCGCGUGAGUGAAGAAGUAAUUCGUUAUGUAAAGCUCUAUCAGCAGGGAAGAAAAUGACGGUACCUGAGUAAGAAGCCCCGGCUAACUACGUGCCAGCAGCCGCGGUAAUACGUAGGGGGCAAGCGUUAUCCGGAUUUACUGGGUGUAAAGGGAGCGUAGACGGCAGUGCAAGUCUGGAGGGAAAGGCGGGGGCUCAACCCCCGGACUGCUCUGGAAACUGGACGGCUGGAGUGCAGGAGAGGUAAGUGGAAUUCCUAGUGUAGCGGUGAAAUGCGUAGAUAUUAGGAGGAACACCAGUGGCGAAGGCGGCUUACUGGACUGUAACUGACGUUGAGGCUCGAAAGCGUGGGGAGCAAACAGGAUUAGAUACCCUAGUAGUC
This 440-nucleotide ribosomal RNA is filed under the name uncultured bacterium. RNAcentral describes it as "partial 16S ribosomal RNA". It matches the Rfam family "Bacterial small subunit ribosomal RNA", at positions 338 to 795 of the family's 1533-position model. The record is from RNAcentral.